Molecule: ribosomal RNA, 497 nt
Filed under: uncultured bacterium
Lineage: Bacteria
Description: partial 16S ribosomal RNA
Rfam family: Bacterial small subunit ribosomal RNA
Source: RNAcentral
GAUGAACGCUGGCGGCGUGCCUAAUACAUGCAAGUAGAACGCUGAAGGAAGGAGCUUGCUCUUUCCGGAUGAGUUGCGAACGGGUGAGUAACGCGUAGGUAACCUGCCUGGUAGCGGGGGAUAACUAUUGGAAACGAUAGCUAAUACCGCAUAACAGUAGAUGUUGCAUGAUAUCUACUUAAAAGGUGCAAUUGCACCACUACCAGAUGGACCUGCGUUGUAUUAGCUAGUUGGUGAGGUAACGGCUCACCAAGGCGACGAUACAUAGCCGGCCUGAGAGGGUGAUCGGCCACACUGGGACUGAGACACGGCCCAGACUCCUACGGGGGGCAGCAGUAGGGAAUCUUCGGCAAUGGACGGAAGUCUGACCGAGCAACGCCGCGUGAGUGAAGAAGGUUUUCGGAUCGUAAAGCUCUGUUGUAAGAGAAGAACGAGUGUGAGAGUGGAAAGUUCACACUGUGACGGUAUCUUACCAGAAAGGGACGGCUAACUACGUG